GUGGGGAAUUUUGGACAAUGGGGGAAACCCUGAUCCAGCGACGCCGCGUGAAGGAUGAAGGCCUUCGGGUUGUAAACUUCUUUUGGAGGGGACGAAUAAAUUGACGGUACCCUCAGAAAAAGCCACGGCUAACUACGUGCCAGCAGCCGCGGUAAUACGUAGGUGGCGAGCGUUACUCGGAAUUACUAGGCGUAAAGCGUAUGUAGGCGGUUGUAUAAGUCUAUGGUGAAAUUUCCUGGCUCAACUGGGAAGGGACAUAGAUACUGUAUGACUUGAGUGUUGGAGGGGGAGACGGAAUUCCUGGUGUAGCGGUGAAAUGCGUAGAUAUCAGGAGGAACACCGAUGGCGAAAGCAGUCUCCUGGCCAAAUACUGACGCUGAGGUACGAAAGCUAGGGUAGCAAACAGGAUUAGAAACCCUAGUAGUCC
This 427-nucleotide ribosomal RNA is filed under the name uncultured bacterium. RNAcentral's name for it is "partial 16S ribosomal RNA". It matches the Rfam family "Bacterial small subunit ribosomal RNA", at positions 354 to 796 of the family's 1533-position model. The record is from RNAcentral.